This 1537-nucleotide ribosomal RNA is filed under the name metagenome. Its description in RNAcentral is "bacterial SSU rRNA". It matches the Rfam family "Bacterial small subunit ribosomal RNA". The record is from RNAcentral.
GCUGGCGGCGUGGAUUAGGCAUGCAAGUCGGACGAUUUUUUGUUGGUUUUUUGGGCCGCAAGGCCUGAAGAAUUGGUGAAAAAGAGUAGCAAAAGGGCGAGGAACACGUGGGUAAUUUACCCCCAAGAUCAGGAUAACAUUGCGAAAGUGAUGCUAAUACUGGAUAAGACCACGGGAGGGCAUCCUCCUGAGGUUAAAUGAUUGUUGAGGCUACGCAAGUAGAAUGCCUUCGCUUAGGGAUAAGCCCGCAUCCUAUUAGCUAGUUGGCAGGGUAACGGCCUACCAAGGCGACGAUGGGUAGCUGGUCUGAGAGGAUGGUCAGCCGCACUGGGACUGAGACACUGCCCAGACUCCUACGGGAGGCUGCAGUCGAGGAUCUUUUGCAAUGGGCGAAAGCCUGACAAUGCGACGCCGCGUGCAGGAUGAAGGUUUUCGGAUUGUAAACUGCUUUUGCACCGGAUGAAAAUCCCGAAUUAGAAAUGGUUCGGGAUUGACAGUACGGUGAGAAUAAGCCACGGCUAACUCCGUGCCAGCAGCCGCGGUAAUACGGAGGUGGCUAGCGUUGUUCGGAUUUAUUGGGUGUAAAGGGCAUGUAGGUGUUCUGAUAAGUUUUGGGUGAAAUCCUUCACUCAAUCGAAGAACUGCCUAAAAAACCGUCAGAAUUGAGUUCAGGGGAGGAGAGUGGAAUUCCCGGUGUAAGAGUGAAAUCUGUAGAUAUCGGGAGGAACACCAGUGGCGAAGGCGACUCUCUAUUCUGUUACUGACACUGAAGUGCGAAAGCUAGGGGAGCAAACAGGAUUAGAUACCCUGGUAGUCCUAGCUGUAAACGAUGGGCACUAGGUGUCGGCCCCUUUAGGGGUCGGUGCCGUAGUUAACACGUUAAGUGCCCCACCUGGGGAGUACGACCGCAAGGUUGAAACUCAAAGGAAUUGACGGGGGUCCGCACAAGCGGUGGUGCAUGUGGUUUAAUUCGAUGCUACGCGAAGAACCUUACCAGGGCUUGACAUGCUGGAAGUAGGAACCUGAAAGGGGGACGAUCUGUUAAGUCAGAAACCAGAACAGGUGCUGCAUGGCUGUCGUCAGCUCGUGCCGUGAGGUGUUGGGUUAAGUCCCGCAACGAGCGCAACCCUUAUCCUUAGUUGCUACUUUGCAUCGUAAGGUGCAGAGGCACUCUAAGGAGACUGCCUCGUAUAACGAGGAGGAAGGCGGGGAUGACGUCAAGUCAGUAUGGCCCUUAUGUCCUGGGCUACACACGUGCAACAAUGGCUUGUACAGAGGGAUGCCAAACCGCGAGGUGGAGCAAAUCCCAAAAAGCAGGCCUUAGUUCAGAUUGGAGGCUGCAAUUCGCCUCCAUGAAGUAGGAAUCGCUAGUAAGCGCGGAUCAGCUAUGCCGCGCUGAAUACGUUCCCGGACCUUGUACACACCGCCCGUCAAGCGAUGGAAGCUGGGGGUACCCGAAGUCGUCGGUCUAACCCUGUUUCAGGGAGGAAGACGCCUAAGGUAAAAUCAGUGACUGGCGCUAAGUCGUAACAAGGCA